RNAcentral lists this ribosomal RNA (456 nucleotides) under uncultured Sphingobacteriales bacterium. Its description in RNAcentral is "bacterial SSU rRNA". It matches the Rfam family "Bacterial small subunit ribosomal RNA", at positions 924 to 1382 of the family's 1533-position model. Lineage: Bacteria; Pseudomonadati; Bacteroidota; Sphingobacteriia; Sphingobacteriales. The record is from RNAcentral.
CACAAGCGGUGGAGCAUGUGGUUUAAUUUCGAUGAUACGCGAGGAACCUUACCUGGGCUCAAAUGUAUGUUGACGUAUUCUGAAAGGGAUACUUCUUCGGACAAUAUACAAGGUGCUGCAUGGUUGUCGUCAGCUCGUGCCGUGAGGUGUCGGGUUAAGUCCCAUAACGAGCGCAACCCCUAUCAUUAGUUGCCAUCAGGUCAAGCUGGGGACUCUAAUGAAACUGCCUACGCAAGUAGUGAGGAAGGUGGGGAUGACGUCAAAUCAGCACGGCCCUUACGUCCAGGGCUACACACGUGCUACAAUGGCCGGUACAAAGGGCAGCUACCUGGUGACAGGAUGCUAAUCUCAAAAGCCGGUCUCAGUUCGGAUCGGAGUCUGCAACCCGACUCCGUGAAGCUGGAAUCGCUAGUAAUCGUGAAUCAGAAUGUCACGGUGAAUACGUUCCCGGGCCUU